AACACAUCAAAACGGAAAAGGAAAUGUAAGCAGUGUUUGCCGUCCAAAGUUCACAUCAACAAUUCCUUAUUAGGAAGGCAAUUCUGAGCCUUUCCUCCUGCAUCUGGGAGCUGCCAGCAACCCAGUUCCAGGAGAGAAAAUAGCUUGACACCUCCUGCGGCCCAUGGAGUCCUCCCGUUGGGACAAGGACCCCCCAGGAGAGAGAAGACCCCAGCAGAGUCAACACUGGAGGGCCAGGGACCAUGGUGCCCGGGGCUGUGGACCACGCCAGCCCACAGCCACUGCAAGCCCCAGACCGGGGCUGUGGAUAACGCCAGCCCACGGCAGCCACACGCCCCAGACCAACACGAGAAGAACGCAGGCCGACAACAUCUUCAUCUAUGCUCUCGCCACACUCAGUCAAUGUCCACUGGGGGCCUCAGGGGCACCUCCACCUGCCCAGGUCUGGGACCACCGUCCUCCACGCAUAUCUACAGACCCUGUCCUCACCUGCAUCACACCAAUGAUGGCGUCACAGCGUGGGUUCCGGUCACCAGUCGGCCUCCCCCACCAACGUGGACUCCUUACAAGCAGAGCCACCAACGUGGACACGAUCCCAUCAGGAACCACCUACUUUUGCAUCCCCAGCACUGUGCUCAGGUCCCAGGGAGGCCCCAGCAAACUGUGGAACAACCAAACUCGUGACUGAAUGAACAAGUAUGUUAAGUCGUUAAGUAAAAAUAGCAGAAGACUUAGUAGAAUGUAUGAGUAACAAUUACAAUUAUAUGAAAAUCCGUAUCCACGUGAAGGUAUUAUGCAAAAAAAGCUUAACUUUGUUUCAGUGCCUUUCCAGUUAAAUGUUGUUAAGCAGUAUUUCCCCCAAAAGGUGCAUCUUUUAUAAAACAAGAACGCAAGGCUCUGAGGCCAACUUUGAACAUUUAUUUGAGUGAAUUCACGUCCCCCAAAUUUUCCGUAUCCCAAAAUCUGGACUUUUGCUAAAUGGUGCCCUUAGCACAGGAGUCUCUCCAAGGAAGUGGCCUGAGCUGAGAGGGGGCCUGGCAUCGCCCACCCAGGUCAUCAGUCAUCAUCAGCAGCAGCUGCGGCAUGAGAGAGAUGGUGUGGGGCGAAACCAAUGGGGAAACUACAAAAGAAACCACCUGCUACUGCAAACGGCCUCGCUGUACUCAGGGAGUCGGUUCCAGGACCCCAUGGACACCAAAUCCAGGCACACUCACGCCCCACAAGUGGACCUGCCGAACCUGCGUGUACAGAGUCGGCCCUCCGACACACGUUUCACAUGGCAGGAACACUGUAUUUUCUCCCUGAGUUUGGUUGAAAAAAUUCACAUAUAAGUUGACCCACAAAGCUCAAGCUUGUGUGGUACAAGAGUCAACUGUAUGCAAUUGACACUGAUUCCUACCAACGAUAUCCAAAUCUUAGCAUGAGCAGCACGAUAAACAGAAUGAGCAAAAUUCAAAAACUAAAGCAGCGUUUUUCCUGCAAGUGGGCGCACUGCGUAUCCCCUGCGGGAAAGACCACGCUGGCUGCUGACCAAACUCCACUGGCAUCUUCCUCCAUCCUGAGGGCAUCUUCCUCGGCAUCUUCCUCCAUCGACAGCAGCCUGGGCUCACCUCCCAGCCCGAGGCUGAGAACUGAGUUCCAGUCCCGGGGUGGGGUGGCGGGGGGGCGCACUGUGCACCCUCCCAGCUCUCCUCCACCCCUUCCCUCAGGCUGGCCCAAGAAUAGCCUGGACAAUCACCUGCUGGGGACACCGGGCUGCCCCUCCUCCGCCCACAGCCUCAGGCCACCUGUCUCAUCCGUGACCGAGAAACGGAGCUGCAGUGGGAGGCGGGACAUGCUGGGAUCUACCCAUGGCCAGGCCAAGCUGCGCCAAUCACUCAAGCUUCACUUUGAUCACUUGCUCUACCAAAUAAAACAGAACAAAAUAA
Molecule: long non-coding RNA, 1928 nt
Filed under: Homo sapiens (human)
Lineage: Eukaryota; Metazoa; Chordata; Mammalia; Primates; Hominidae
Description: long non-coding RNA NONHSAT010867.2
Source: RNAcentral